Molecule: RNA transcript, 2912 nt
Organism: Vitis riparia (riverbank grape)
Lineage: Eukaryota; Viridiplantae; Streptophyta; Magnoliopsida; Vitales; Vitaceae
Gene name: pentatricopeptide repeat-containing protein At5g12100, mitochondrial
Exons: 2
Source: RefSeq, a predicted model, not a curated record
CAUAAACAAGUGGUAGCGCCAAUCUUGCAAGGGCGUUAAAUCAAAUAAAGGGGAAGAGAAGGAAAAUGGCGAAACGAAUACAUCUCUCAAAAUUCUCCAUCGGUAGUACCCUGAACAAACCCCAAAAAUCCCUCUUGCUUCCUUCCUGCAAGCCCUUCUGCUCUCUCACAGAGAAGCAAGAAGCUACGUCUACAAACAACAGCACCACCAACCUCCAAGGUCAAGUCCAAGAACAGGCCCGCCAUGAACAUGUUCAAAAGCUCCAAACCCUCCUCCAACAGGGUCGUACCGAAACCGCGCGAAGGCUCAUCAGGUCUAUGCUUUUACCCAAAUCACCUUUCUCUUCACCCUCUCAUCUCUACACUCUCUUCUCCCUCUCUUCAACCCCCAUGAAACCCCUUUUCUCCGACAUGCUCUUAUCCAUUUGUUCCGAGUCCAAAAUGGUUUCGGAAUCUGCGGAAUUGUACAUGUUGAUGAAGAAAGAUGGUGUAUUGCCAUCCGUAGCGUCUCUCAAUCUGUUUCUUGAAUCUUUGGUGUCGACAAAACGGUACGAGGAAACUCUUCAGUUGUUUUCGGAGAUUGUGGAGUCCGGGCUUCGACCGGAUCAGUUUAUGUAUGGGAAGGCGAUUCAGGCGGCAGUGAAGUUAGGGGACUUGAAAAGGGCUAUUGAGCUUAUGACUUGUAUGAAGAGGGGAGGGGUGAGUCCGGGUGUUUUUGUGUAUAAUGUUGUGAUUGGUGGGUUGUGUAAAGAGAAGAGAAUGAAGGAUGCGGAGAAGCUAUUUGACGAAAUGCUUGAUAGGAGGGUGGCACCCAAUCGGAUUACCUAUAACACACUUAUUGAUGGGUAUUGCAAAGUGGGACAGUUGGAGGAGGCAUUUAAUAUUCGGGAGCGGAUGAAGGUGGAAAAUGUGGAGCCGACCAUUAUUACUUUCAAUUCGUUGCUUAAUGGGCUUUGUCGGGCACAGAUGAUGGAAGAGGCACAACGGGUGUUGGAAGAGAUGGAAGUUUAUGGAUUCGUUCCGGACAGAUUUACUUAUACUACUCUUUUUGAUGGCCACUUGAAGUGUGGGAAUGUGGAUGCUUCAAUUACCCUUUCUGAAGAAGCAGUAAGGAAAGGGGUUCAGAUUCUUGAUUAUACUUGUAGCAUUUUGUUGAAUGCGUUAUGUAAGGAAGGGAAUAUGGAGAAGGCUGAGGAAGUUUUGAAGAAGUUUUUGGAAAAUGGGCUUGCUCCAGUAGGGGUGUUUUUUAACACAAUUGUGAAUGGAUACUGCCAGGUUGGUGAUAUUAACAAAGCAUAUACGACAAUUGAAAAAAUGGAAGCAGUUGGGUUGAGGCCCAACCAUGUCACUUACAAUUCCUUGGUCAAGAAGUUUUGUGAAAUGAAGAAUAUGGAGGAGGCAGAGAAAUGCAUAAAGAAGAUGGUGGAAAAGGGAGUUUUGCCAAAUGUCGAGACAUAUAACACUUUAAUUGAUGGCUAUGGGCGGAGUUGCCUUUUUGAUAGGUGUUUCCAGAUUCUCGAAGAAAUGGAGAAAAAGGGGCUAAAGCCCAACGUUAUAAGCUAUGGUUGUCUCAUAAAUUGUUUAUGCAAGGAUGCUAACAUUCUUGAAGCUGAAGUAAUACUUGGUGAUAUGGUACACAGAGGAGUGGUGCCAAACGCACAAAUAUACAAUAUGCUGAUUGAUGGUAGCUGUAUAGCGGGGAAGUUGAAAGAUGCUUUCAGGUUUUUUGAUGAGAUGGUGGCAAGAGAGAUUGUUCCCACGCUUGUAACAUACAAUAUUCUUAUAAAUGGGCUCUGCAAAAAGGGUAAAGUAAUGGAAGCUGAAAACUUGGCCUCUGAGAUCACAAGGAAAGGUUUGAGUUUUGAUGUGAUCACAUACAACUCCCUAAUUUCUGGAUAUUCUAGUGCAGGAAAUGUUCAGAAGGCUUUGGAAUUAUAUGAAACUAUGAAGAAAUCAGGAAUUAAACCUACUCUAAAUACAUAUCAUCGUCUCAUAGCUGGAUGUGGCAAGGAAGGACUGGUGCUAGUGGAAAAAAUUUAUCAGGAAAUGUUACAGAUGAAUUUGGUUCCUGAUCGGGUUAUAUAUAAUGCACUUAUUCAUUGUUAUGUUGAACAUGGAGAUGUCCAAAAGGCAUGUUCUUUGCACUCUGCCAUGGAAGCCCAGGGGAUUCAGCCUGACAAGAUGACCUAUAAUUGCUUGAUUCUGGGGCACUUUAAAGAGGGUAGGAUGCAUGAAGUAAAGAAUCUUGUCGAUGAUAUGAAGAUUAGAGGAUUAAUUCCUAAAACUGAAACCUAUGACAUACUGAUUGUGGGGCAUUGCAAGCUAAAGGAUUUCGAUGGAGCUUAUGUCUGGUACAGAGAAAUGUUUGAGAAUGGUUUCACUCCCAGUGUCUCUAUUUGUGACAAUCUUAUCACUGGCCUUAGAGAGGAGGGAAGGUCCCAUGAUGCUGAUGUUAUUUGCUCAGAAAUGAUUAUGAAAGGAAAGGAUGAUUGUAGAGCAGAUGAGGAUGCUUCUGCUGUUUGAAAAUUGUAGUAAGUGUUUGUUGGGGUUAAGCUCUCAGUAGAGUAAUUCAUCUACAAAGAAAGGCCUAGGCAGGGGCUUAACUGGUCUCGAAGGUGGUAGAUGAGAUUCUCCAUUCAAAAUUAGCAUUAAAGCAGAUAUGUCAGAGGACUAAGCGCUGGCAGACCUUCCACAAUUAUGAAGAUUUGGCAGGGAGAUAUUCAUGCUGUAUAAGUUUUAACAAAAUAAUUAAAUUGAUCUCCAAAGAAAACCAGGUAUCUCAUACUUAUAGCCGUGCUAUGUUGUUCAGAGUUGUAUAUCUACUCUAGGCAGAAUUCCUUUUUAUAUUGAAGGGUGUGGAAUGGAGAUAUUUAUUUGAAUAUGUUUUUUGAUCUAAAAAUAGAAAUUGUGCCA